Molecule: transfer RNA, 69 nt
Filed under: Rattus norvegicus (Norway rat)
Lineage: Eukaryota; Metazoa; Chordata; Mammalia; Rodentia; Muridae
Rfam family: tRNA
About the family: Transfer RNA (tRNA) molecules are approximately 80 nucleotides in length. Their secondary structure includes four short double-helical elements and three loops (D, anti-codon, and T loops).
Source: Rfam by way of RNAcentral
GGGGAUUUAGCUUAGUGGUAGAGUGCUUGCCUAGCAAGCACAAGGUCCUGGGUUCGGUCCCCAGCUCCG